UUAAAUUGAAGAGUUUGAUCAUGGCUCAGAUUGAACGCUGGCGGCAGGCCUAACACAUGCAAGUCGAACGGUAACAGGA
RNAcentral lists this ribosomal RNA (79 nucleotides) under Escherichia coli. RNAcentral describes it as "partial 16S ribosomal RNA". It matches the Rfam family "Bacterial small subunit ribosomal RNA", at positions 1 to 77 of the family's 1533-position model. RNAcentral also lists the same sequence under 42 other names. The record is from RNAcentral. Lineage: Bacteria; Pseudomonadati; Pseudomonadota; Gammaproteobacteria; Enterobacterales; Enterobacteriaceae.